CCUAUUAUUGAACUUCUAGUAUUUCUGGUUAAUGAAGCCUUUGCUUUAGCAAUGGGGAUAAUUGUCCCAGCCAUGUCUGCUAUUCAAAUCAAGAGCCCCUCUUUGUUACACUCUUCAUGAAACCAGUAAAUGGCAUGAUAAAUUUUUCCAUAACAGAGUCACUGUCAACAAAUGCUAUUUCCUCCUUAAACAAUCAGAGUUGUAUAUAGUUUUUUUCCAAGGAUGUCAAGGCA
Molecule: non-coding RNA, 233 nt
Organism: Callorhinus ursinus (northern fur seal)
Lineage: Eukaryota; Metazoa; Chordata; Mammalia; Carnivora; Otariidae
Source: RefSeq, a predicted model, not a curated record